ACAGCCCGUGUUGUUCAGUACGGACGGCAGUAACGAACCAACAAUGUUAAGAAAACAUAAUAUGUUUUCAGCACGUGGACAGGAUCCAGAUGGUCUAAUGUGCCCCACUGCCAACUUCUAGAGCUCAGCACUCACUGCACCUGAAUAAAAACAGUUGUUUUCUUAAGUUCUCAUUAGAUUGUGAUUCGCCUGUGUAAAACACAUCAAAAUUAAAAUCAAGCAAAAGAAAUAAAGUCGUGG
Non-coding RNA from Electrophorus electricus (electric eel), 240 nucleotides. Lineage: Eukaryota; Metazoa; Chordata; Actinopteri; Gymnotiformes; Gymnotidae. The record is from RefSeq and is a predicted model, not a curated record.